AAAAAGAUAAGCUAAUUCAAGCUCUUAGGUUCAUACCCUAAUAAAGAAAGUUCAAUCUUUCUCUUUUUA
This 69-nucleotide transfer RNA is filed under the name Pelecotoma fennica. Its description in RNAcentral is "tRNA-Met". Lineage: Eukaryota; Metazoa; Arthropoda; Insecta; Coleoptera; Ripiphoridae. The record is from RNAcentral.